RNAcentral lists this transfer RNA (79 nucleotides) under Gimesia panareensis. RNAcentral's name for it is "Planctomycetes bacterium Enr10 tRNA-Leu". It matches the Rfam family "tRNA". From Rfam's summary of the family: Transfer RNA (tRNA) molecules are approximately 80 nucleotides in length. Their secondary structure includes four short double-helical elements and three loops (D, anti-codon, and T loops). Further hydrogen bonds mediate the characteristic L-shaped molecular structure. tRNAs have two regions of fundamental functional importance: the anti-codon, which is responsible for specific mRNA codon recognition, and the 3' end, to which the tRNAs corresponding amino acid is attached (by aminoacyl-tRNA synthetases). tRNAs cope with the degeneracy of the genetic code in two manners: having more than one tRNA (with a specific anti-codon) for a particular amino acid; and 'wobble' base-pairing, i.e. permitting non-standard base-pairing at the 3rd anti-codon position. RNAcentral also lists the same sequence under 1 other name. Lineage: Bacteria; Pseudomonadati; Planctomycetota; Planctomycetia; Planctomycetales; Planctomycetaceae. The record is from RNAcentral.
GGCACGGUAUGCAAACUGGUAAAGCAACGAAACUUAAAAUUUCGUGAUUGUCUGCGGGUUCGACUCCCGCCCGUGCUAC